RNAcentral lists this unclassified non-coding RNA (1831 nucleotides) under Haliotis rufescens (red abalone). Its description in RNAcentral is "e3 ubiquitin-protein ligase TRIM33-like, transcript variant X4". Lineage: Eukaryota; Metazoa; Mollusca; Gastropoda; Lepetellida; Haliotidae. The record is from RNAcentral.
AGGGGAACAACUCUAAUAUUGCAAUCUUCCGUGUUUCCACACAAGAGAGUUUUUUGCUGAUGCAGUUGGUUGCUGCUGGAUUUACUAUUCAAACCACCAGACUUGACAGAAUGUCUGAACCUCAGGAGAAGGUGAACAUGAGUGCCCUCAAAGACACAUUCCUGGAGUGUCCUGUGUGUGUGGAACAUUUCAACCAGACAGACCGUCGUCCUCGUCUCCUCCACUCCUGCCUCCAUGCCUUCUGUACCCUGUGUCUUCAACAGCUGCUCACGAGGGAGGGAAACGGUCAGAUCACUUGCCCUUUAUGUCGCCAGGUCCACAAGGUCCCAGGGACGGCCGACACAUUGCCUGUGGAUCCUGUGAGAGCGAAACUUGUGGAUUUUGUGCAGAUCAAGAACGAAGGGAAUGUUCCUUGCACAGACUGUCCCGAGGGAAGUACAUCGGAGUCAAGGUGUCAGGAGUGUUCUGUAUAUCUCUGUAAGGAUUGCACAUACGUACACAAACGUCAUCGACUGACACACGACCAUCCAAUCAUUUCCCUGGUUGAUGUACUACAACAGCCCCUGAACACAUUUGGCAAGGGUCAUUUCUGCACUCAUCACCCAAAACACCAGUUGGAGUUCUUUUGUGCUACUGAUGAAACACUGUGUUGCAUGUCUUGCACAGUUCUGGAACAUAAAGGUCAUGACUUCAAGAAAUUAGAAGAAGCAGCUAAGAAACGACAAGAGGAAUUGGAAACAUCAAUGCAGGCAGUUCAUGCAAAUGCCCAACAACUGCGUCAGAGGCGACUGUCAGAAGAAAAGCAUCAAAAUGCAAUCGUGCAAGCUCAGGGAAAGGCCAAAUCCGAUGUGAGUGCAUACUUUACAAGUUUGACGAAUAUUAUCAAUAAAAGAAAAGCAUAUUUGGAUGAAGCCAUCGACCAAAGAAGUAGCACAAUGCUGUCUCUGUCUGAAAAGGAAGUAGCAGCGAUAGACCAGACUCUUGCUGUUAUGGACUCAACUGAAACGUACUUCGCACAAGCCAGGGAGAAGGCCGAUGUCGUGGAAAUGCUGCAGAUGUAUCCUGCAAUGAAGAGAAGUUUGGAAGCAUCAGCUGAUGGACAAAGACAAGGUCGACCAAUGGCACCGGAAGUUGUGACAUUUAAUCCCACAAAUGGAAACAUUGUCAAAACAUUAAUGUCAGAAGUAGGAUGCGUGAGAGAAUGUUCUGAGACUCAGAAAGAAAAGAAUCAACUUCUACAGUGUUUGGAUGAAGUAUAUGAUGCUGCUUUAAAAUACAAAAGCAAGAAUGAACUGAUGAAACAUUUCCAAGAGAAAACCUUCACCACCGAACGAGACACGUGUGCCAUCUGCCUGAAUCAGAUCGUUGAAGCAAAGAAGAUGAAGUGUGGACACUCUUUCUGUGAGAGCUGCCUUGACCAGGCAUCCAGUGUGCCAGGCAGUUGUCCUGUGUGUAAAAUAUGUUGUAAAGUAAUAACUGGACAUACGCCUCCCGGGAAGAUGGAGACAUGUCUUAUCCCUGACAGGCUACCUGGCUAUGAGCAACACAACACCAUACAGAUAACAUACAAUUUUCCGAAUGGAGUUCAGUCUGGACUGUCUCCGUGGUCUAGUGGAUAGAGUGUCGAUGGUUCGAUUCCUGACCAUGUUAAACGCAGGUGCUUGUUAUCACGCCUGGCCCUCGGCAUUAAUGGGACGGGCAUCCCAGGCCAGGAGUCAGGUAUAGAGGGGGAGAUUUCACCGCCUUCCUGCCCAACAGUCCAGAAGGUCAGAAGGUGCUGGGUCUGCUGAAGGUGGCCUGGGAGAGGAAGCUCACGUUCACAAUCAAGAUU